GUCAGCACCCCCGGCUGAAGCACGGGGGCUUCAUGCCCCCAGCUUCAGGUAGCUGACCAGCCUAAGCCCUUUGGGCUACGUUUUUAGGGUCAUGGCACCGACAAAUGCUUUCCAGUUUAUCGCCCUGCCGCUAACGGUUAAACAGCCCUAGAAGGGGUAAGGCAGUGCCGUUAGCCUAACAAGCCCUGAAAACAUUGGCGAGGAAAACAUUAC
This is a non-coding RNA of Leptolyngbya valderiana, 213 nucleotides long. The record is from Rfam. NCBI's taxonomy places the organism in Bacteria, Bacillati, Cyanobacteriota, Cyanophyceae, Leptolyngbyales, Leptolyngbyaceae.